CAGCCGCCUCGGUAAUACCGGCGGCCCGAGUGGCGGUCACUAUUAUUGGGCUUAAAGCGUCCGUAGCCGGGUUGGGAAGUCCUCCGGGAAAUCUGGCCGCUUAACGGUCAGAAUGCCGGAGGAUACUCCCAGCCUAGGGAGCGGGAGAGGCCGAGGGUAUUCCCGGAGUAGGGGUGAAAUCCUAUAAUCCCGGGAGGAACACCUGUGGCGAAGGCGCUCGGCUGGAACGCGUCCGACGGUGAGGGACGAAGGCCAGGGGAGCAAACCGGAUUAGAUACCCGGGUAGUCCUGGCUGUAAACGAUGCGGACUUUGUGUCGGACAAGCUAUGAGCUUGUCCGGUGCCGGAGGGAAACCGUUAAGUCCGCCGCCUGGGGAGUACGGCCGCAAGGCUGAAACUUAAAGGAAUUGGCGGG
This 414-nucleotide ribosomal RNA is filed under the name uncultured microorganism. Its description in RNAcentral is "bacterial SSU rRNA". It matches the Rfam family "Archaeal small subunit ribosomal RNA", at positions 459 to 872 of the family's 1478-position model. The record is from RNAcentral.